Molecule: ribosomal RNA, 331 nt
Filed under: uncultured eukaryote
Lineage: Eukaryota
Description: partial 18S ribosomal RNA
Rfam family: Eukaryotic small subunit ribosomal RNA
Source: RNAcentral
CCCUUAGAUGUUCUGGGCCGCACGCGCGCUACACUGUUCGACGCAGCGAGUCUUAACCUUGACCGAAAGGUUUGGGUAAUCUUCAGCAAAGUCGAACGUGAUGGGGAUCGAUCAUUGCAAUUAUUGAUCGUGAACGAGGAAUUCCUAGUAAGUGCAAGUCAUCAGCUUGCGCUGAUUACGUCCCUGCCCUUUGUACACACCGCCCGUCGCUACUACCGAUUGAAUGGUUUAGUGAGAUCUCUGGAUUGACGCUGGCUAGGGGGCGACCCUUGGCCAGACUGUUGAGAAACUGCUCAAACUUGAUCAUUUAGAGGAAGUAAAAGUCGUAGCA